Molecule: long non-coding RNA, 6104 nt
Organism: Anolis carolinensis (green anole)
Lineage: Eukaryota; Metazoa; Chordata; Lepidosauria; Squamata; Anolidae
Exons: 2
Source: RefSeq, a predicted model, not a curated record
UGAUCGAGGUGACCUCCCCUCCAGGACUUUGUAAAAGAUAGUUCAAAAAUCAAGACUUUAUGUUCUAUAUUCCAUAUAUUUAUAGUAGAAGGUGAUUGGGACUUUUUACUGGAGUUUACUGUGGAUUAUCCCUGCACUCUGAGGCAAGAGAUAACAACUUCAUGGAUUGUGAAAUCAUGUUGCUUGAACCCCACUUCUAUGUUGAAUUCCCCAGAUGUUGUGAACUUCGUUCUGAUCAAAUGUUUCCUAUUACUUAUAUCGAUUGUUUAUAUCAUUCAUGAUUCCCCUUUAUGCAAUGUCACCCACCUUUAUGGAUUCUCCUUUAUUUUCUUGAAAUGUACCUAUCUGCCUAUAUGUAUUUAUACUCUUUGGGAUCCCCGGAAAAUAUGUGUUUUUCCUAGCUGGGUUUAUAUUCCAACUUUAUUUUUAAAUUUUCAUUUUAUCCCAUAUAAUUGGCAGAUCAUGAAAUCAAAUGGGAAAUAUUAUGACCCCAACCUGAACUCUAGCCCCAUGACUCAGACCUCCCUUCCCAAAAACAAAAGGAUAAUCUGCCACAGUUUAAUCCCCUCUCAUUCCGACCGCAUGGACAAUAUAGGGCGAGUCACCAAACUCCUAAAGGUGACUCGCCCCCAAGGCAAACAUUGUCACAUCUCAGGCCAGGACGCCGCAGGAAGGCACCCUGUGGGGCCGUCAAUGAUGGCUCAUCACCACCCACUUCCCGUCUGACACCCCAAAGACAUAUCUAAAAUCUGUGAACGUGACAGGACCCCGGACAUCCUUGAUGGGUGUCAUUAAUUCCUUUAGAAAUCGGCUGGGCCAGAAUUAAUCAGAUAUUUCCUGUCCGGUCACCUCUUUGUCUCAAUAGCUCCCGCCUCCUCCUCUCUGAUUGGCCCGAAUAGGGACAAUAAGCGGCUCCCCAUUGGGCCAGCAGAGCAAGGCGGGAAACGAAAGCCCGCCUCAUUCAACCUCUCAGCCUAUCCGCGAUCAGAUGGGCAGGGAAGCGGGGCGGGAAAUUCAAAGGGCUGUCAGACCAAAACAUUGUAUAAAUAUGGCUUUAUUUGAAACAUAUGUUACGCUAGUAGAUUGAAUGAUCACUAUUAGCGUCCUUUUCAGCUGAAUUGCUCAAUAAAACUCCUUGGCGGAUUUUCCUUCAACGUGGCGGACCUUCUUCAUUUCAGGCUUCAGGUUGUAUUGCGGCUUAUAUUCUUCUUUUGGCUUCGCCAAGGUCCGUUCCCUCAGGACCGGAUCGGCUUCCUUCUAAAGGGGCCCGAUCCCCCAAACGCGGUCGACAACAUAAUUUGGCUUUACCACGAAGGGACUUGCUUGGAAGUUCCAAAGAUCAAUUUUUUUAGGCUAAAAUUCCAAGCGGCGACCUUGGUCCAGAUAUUCUGGGACAGGUUGGGGAGAGAAACGGCUGCAAGGAGGGCCCUCCGACCAACAAUUUGACCUCAUUUCACAUCCAAAUUUCUCUGGCAGUCCCUUUCUCUCUCUAGAUCUGAUUCAGGGUACUGAACAAAGGAGCCAGAUAGGAGGAAGCAGAUUUUUAGCUCCUCGAAGGAAAGGCGCCAACGUGAAACAGGGGACGCCCUGUAAAAAUAAAAGGGAACCGGCCCCGUUGUUGAGACCCAGGUGGGCGGAGUCCUGGAGGUAUUGCACUUCGGAUCAGGGCUCGGUAACAAAUUCCUGGUGAAACACGGGAAGAUCUGGCACCCGGGGGACGUGUGAGAACAGUCUGGCUUGUAAGAUUACAGGUUCUAGGAUCGUGGGGUAGGGGAACGGUUGUGUUCCCGGGGCACCUGCGGAUCCCACGAACGCCAGCCAUUCAGCCUUGGUGUAGGGAGAACUCUUGAAAGGACGAGUUGCAUCCAGCCGGUGGGUGAGUCGUUACUCCAUUAACUGUCAGGUACUGGGCAGGGGCUGAGCCAAGGAUGGGUGUUUGUUCAAGCACGUCUAGGGUGUCCCACCCCAGCAGACAUCCCCAGGGAUUCUCCAUUGGGAAAGAUCCUGGCCAAUUGGGGUGGGCUUUGCAUCGAAAAACAUGGUGCAGGCCAGGUUGGGCUAACUCAGAGCACAUAAGUGGCCCCUUGUGGCCCUUGAAGGGGGAACAGCUUGCCCCCCCUUGCUCAAGUCGCCGAAUUCGGAGUGUUGACCUAAGGUGACUCGCCAGGGGGAGGGCAAGUGGUCCCAACUUGCUUAUGCUGCGAUGUUCAUGGCCUUAAGCCAGAGGGAGAGUGGAAGGGGAGAGGGGGUCCAAGUCUUCCCAUGCAGGGACGUGGGCUCCAAACCUACCCUCCUCAGAAGCUCCUCUCUAGACCUACUUCCCCUUACCCCCUCCUCCAGAGGAUUUUCUGGACACAUUUGCUUGCCCUCUCCCCCAAUCCCUAUCCCUACUUUUUCUCCUCACCCUGAGUCCUACACUGAUCCAAAUUGGCCUUCCAAGGGAACCCUUACUUCAGGGAUCCCCCCCCCCCAAGAAAUCCCCCUCCAGAGAGUUCAGCCCAGUCUAACGUGAAGGAGGGCUCCCAGCCCCCUCCCCUCUCACCCCGAAACACACCUGAUCCAAAACACUGUUCACACUCUCUCAGCCCCCAUCCCAGCCGUUCCUUUGAAGCCUGAUGCCCCCCCCCCCAAAUUGUAUCUGCCCCUGCCACUCAACUCCUGCCACAUUCUGAGUUUUCCUCAGAUGGGAAGAAUCGCCCCACCAUCCCCCUCCUUCUCUUGCCCCCACCAGGCUCUCUCUCUCUCUCUCUCUCUCUCUCUCUCUCUCUCUCUCUCUCUCUCUCUCUCUCUGCGCUCAUUCCUCUCUUGGAGAGACAGGAGAAGGAGGGGCCGCGGGGAGAUUGUGCAAAGAGGACACUUUUUUCCUCUUCCUGUUUUUGGAGGGGCAAAGGGGGGAGAAGAUUCAGUCCUGAAGCCUGCCACCAAGAUCUAUAGUUCUCCAAGGAUUGCUUCCUUCUUUCAAAUCAAAUCUUCUCCAACUUGAUAUUCUGCCUUGCCUACCCUCAAAUUGUACCCUUUUUUUCUUUUCUCUCUCUCUCUUCCCCGGCCUGAGUGAAAGUCUCUCUCUCUCCCUCAAAUCUCAAAUCCAUUUCUCCUCUCCUUCCUCUCUUCUCACCUUUUAAAAUCCCUUAUUUCCCUUUGUUCCCAUUUUCUAGACACUAUCCCUAAGAUUUUACCUCAGUGUUGUCUUAUAUUUCCUUUGGUCCUUACAAAAGGGGGGAGGGGGGCCAUUCCUUUAGCCGCUUCUGUUUCUUAAUUUCCCCUUUUUCUUUCUUUCCCAUCUGGGAAGCAUGGCAAAGGAUUUGGGUGGGGGAAGGGGACUCCCAGAAAAGUGUUGAUUAAAUUUUGUGUGUUUAUGUAAUGUGUGGGCUGUAAACUCUUCUCUACUCACCCCUUUGCCUUAAAAGCCACCAGUGAUAUAUAGUUUUCUGGGAAGGAGGGCUGGAAUGGACUAGCUUAGUGCUAUGCUCUCUCUCUCUCCCUUUUCUUCUGUGCCAUCUCACCUCCCUAUUUUCAAAGGUUCAAGCCCUAAUAUUUUGUGAGACCCCCCCCCCCAGAGAAAACCUGCUGCUUCUGUGGUUUUAACUUUUUCUUGUCUCUCUCUCCUCAAGCCUCCCUUAUCUUAGAGAGAAAAGGGGGGGGAUGGAAGAAUUGAUGUAUUUUUCUAUAUGUGAGUUUUUUUCUCUCUCUCUCUCUCUCUUCCACUUCAUGUUUUCCUAGGCCGAAAUGCACUUCAACAUUCUCCUUUUUCAAAGCUCCCCCCCCCCUUCCUUCCCAGCAUCCCCAUUUCUCCUUAUAAACAUUCAGUCAAAAUCCUGGUUUACUUUUAUAGUGAAGGCACUCUUUCACUCUCCACAGUUCCCCAACAAUCUCCUUUCUUCCUUUCGGGUCCUUCUCCCUCCCUUUCCCUGAGUGCAUGCGUGUGAAUGUUUUAAAAAAAUCCCUCUAACUGCCUUUAAUUAUGAGGAGGGCAUUAGAGUCCAGGGGACCUUCCAGGCACAGCUGAAGAGAUCCAGAGGACCGGACCCAACCACCUGACUGAGGACAUCAGACCAGACUGCAAGACCCAUAAUCCAUACCUGCCACCAUGAACAGUUCUAAGACCUGGGUAGGGGCUCUCGGAGUGCGCUGUGGAUUUCAUGCAGCAGCUAGAACCCAGAGGCCAUUGGAGAUGGUCCUGUGAGGGCUUUUAUGGCCAGACCACCGUAUGGUGCCCUCCAGCUGGCCUGGUUCUGCCCUGGCAAAGGGCUACUGAGUGCAGGUCUGCCUUUGACGCUGCCAAGGAGGCCCUCAUGACAUCACCAGGGGACAGAAUUGGCCGCCAUGGCAGAAGAUGCCCCAGAAGAAAUGAACAGGAUUCUACCAGUGACCACCAUGAGGGAAGGAUGUUCCACUUUCACCAGAGCUGUGCCAAAGAAGGACCCCAGGACUGCUGGAGCCCUCACAAGGUAUGAGUGACUUCCCUGACUAACCCCACCACGGGAGGGAGGGGGGGCUUAUAAUCUGUCCUUAGUUUCCCUAGGCACUCUCUCCUUUCCGUCUCCUCUGUUGGAGUGCUGGACCUGCCUGCAGUCACCAGGAGGCGCCGUGCUGUGAGGCGCAGAAGCUGUGCCCAGUUGCCCCCAGCUGCCAACUACAAAGGGGGGCCCAAGCUGCAGCCAAGAAAAGGCAGCCAAAUGGGAGUACUGCAUCACAGCCUCCAUCAUCCCCAGCCCUCACCACCUCCACCUUCAUGCUCCAUUUCCCAUGACUCCAGACCAAGGGACAUCUGUUUCAACACCAUGGGAUCACCCACCACUGACUGAACCUCAGCUUUCACCUCUUCAAGCUCCUGCCCUCCAACAAAAAGGCACAAUCUGAUCUACCAAGGCAGAGGCCCUGCAUGCAGUGAAAUGUCGGGGCUUUGGGAAAUGUUCAUAGCCAUUUCCAAGCCCCGAAGGGGGGAAAAUGUGAUCGAGGUGACCUCCCCUCCAGGACUUUGUAAAAGAUAGUUCAAAAAUCAAGACUUUAUGUUCUAUAUUCCAUAUAUUUAUAGUAGAAGGUGAUUGGGACUUUUUACUGGAGUUUACUGUGGAUUAUCCCUGCACUCUGAGGCAAGAGAUAACAACUUCAUGGAUUGUGAAAUCAUGUUGCUUGAACCCCACUUCUAUGUUGAAUUCCCCAGAUGUUGUGAACUUCGUUCUGAUCAAAUGUUUCCUAUUACUUAUAUCGAUUGUUUAUAUCAUUCAUGAUUCCCCUUUAUGCAAUGUCACCCACCUUUAUGGAUUCUCCUUUAUUUUCUUGAAAUGUACCUAUCUGCCUAUAUGUAUUUAUACUCUUUGGGAUCCCCGGAAAAUAUGUGUUUUUCCUAGCUGGGUUUAUAUUCCAACUUUAUUUUUAAAUUUUCAUUUUAUCCCAUAUAAUUGGCAGAUCAUGAAAUCAAAUGGGAAAUAUUAUGACCCCAACCUGAACUCUAGCCCCAUGACUCAGACCUCCCUUCCCAAAAACAAAAGGAUAAUCUGCCACAGUUUAAUCCCCUCUCAUUCCGACCGCAUGGACAAUAUAGGGCGAGUCACCAAACUCCUAAAGGUGACUCGCCCCCAAGGCAAACAUUGUCACAUCUCAGGCCAGGACGCCGCAGGAAGGCACCCUGUGGGGCCGUCAAUGAUGGCUCAUCACCACCCACUUCCCGUCUGACACCCCAAAGACAUAUCUAAAAUCUGUGAACGUGACAGGACCCCGGACAUCCUUGAUGGGUGUCAUUAAUUCCUUUAGAAAUCGGCUGGGCCAGAAUUAAUCAGAUAUUUCCUGUCCGGUCACCUCUUUGUCUCAAUAGCUCCCGCCUCCUCCUCUCUGAUUGGCCCGAAUAGGGACAAUAAGCGGCUCCCCAUUGGGCCAGCAGAGCAAGGCGGGAAACGAAAGCCCGCCUCAUUCAACCUCUCAGCCUAUCCGCGAUCAGAUGGGCAGGGAAGCGGGGCGGGAAAUUCAAAGGGCUGUCAGACCAAAACAUUGUAUAAAUAUGGCUUUAUUUGAAACAUAUGUUACGCUAGUAGAUUGAAUGAUCACUAUUAGCGUCCUUUUCAGCUGAAUUGCUCAAUAAAACUCCUUGGCGGAUUUUCCUUCAA